Molecule: ribosomal RNA, 229 nt
Filed under: uncultured bacterium
Lineage: Bacteria
Description: partial 16S ribosomal RNA
Rfam family: Bacterial small subunit ribosomal RNA
Source: RNAcentral
UACGUAGGCGGAAAAUUAAGUCAGUAGUGAAAUCCUGCAGCUUAACUAUAGAACUGUUAUUGAUACUGGUUUUCUUGAAUAUAGUUGAGGUAGGCGGAAUGUGUAAUGUAGCGGUGAAAUGCUUAGAUAUUACACAGAACACCGAUUGCGAAGGCAGCUUACAAAGCUAUGAUUGACGCUGAGGUACGAAAGCGUGGGGAGCGAACAGGAUUAGAUACCCUGGUAGUCC